Molecule: ribosomal RNA, 447 nt
Filed under: uncultured bacterium
Lineage: Bacteria
Description: partial 16S ribosomal RNA
Rfam family: Bacterial small subunit ribosomal RNA
Source: RNAcentral
AACGAACGCUGGCGGCAUGCCUAACACAUGCAAGUCGAACGCCCCGCAAGGGGAGUGGCGAACGGGUGAGUAACGCGUGGGAACCUACCCAGCAGUUGGGGAUAACCGCGGGAAACUGCGGCUAAUACCGAAUACGUCCUAUGGGAGAAAGAUUUAUCGCUGUUGGAGGGGCCCGCGUCGGAUUAGCUGGUUGGUGAGGUAACGGCUCACCAAGGCUUCGAUACGUAGCUGGUCUGAGAGGAUGAUCAGCAAAACUGGGACUUAGACACGGCCCAGACUCCUACGGGAGGCAGCAGUGGGGAAUAUUGGACAAUGGGGGCAACCCUGAUCCAGCAAUGCCGCGUGAGUGAUGAAGGCCUUAGGGUUGUAAAGCUCUUUUGCCGGGGACGAUGAUGACGGUACCCGGAGAAUAAGCCCCGGCUAACUUCGUGCCAGCCGCCGCCGUAA